AUACGGAGGGGGUUAGCGUUGUUCGGAAUUACUGGGCGUAAAGCGCGCGUAGGCGGAUUGGAAAGUUGGGGGUGAAAUCCCGGGGCUCAACCCCGGAACGGCCUCCAAAACUCCCAGUCUUGAGUUCGAGAGAGGUGAGUGGAAUUCCGAGUGUAGAGGUGAAAUUCGUAGAUAUUCGGAGGAACACCAGUGGCGAAGGCGGCUCACUGGCUCGAUACUGACGCUGAGGUGCGAAAGUGUGGGGAGCAAACAGGAUUAGAUACCCUGGUAGUCCACACCGUAAACGAUGAAUGCCAGUCGUCGGAUAGCAUGCUAUUCGGUGACACACCUAACGGAUUAAGCAUUCCGCCUGGGGAGUACGGUCGCAAGAUUAAA
This 375-nucleotide ribosomal RNA is filed under the name uncultured bacterium. Its description in RNAcentral is "bacterial SSU rRNA". It matches the Rfam family "Bacterial small subunit ribosomal RNA", at positions 523 to 898 of the family's 1533-position model. The record is from RNAcentral.